UUUAAGAGCUGUCAUUUCUAAAUCCUUUUGAAAAAAUCUUCUUUCUCAAUUGUAGCAGCUCCUGGAGAAGAUCAAUCGUCUGACAAAAAUAAAUGGUUCUCUUCUCAAUCUUAAACCUUCGGUUCUUCUUCAACACCAUCCGCGAUCGACUUCAGCUAUUGUAAUAUCCGGACCAUUAUUUCUCUGGGCAAGGUGAGUGGUAUUCUUCAUUUUUAAACCCCUUGUUGCCAGUAUGUGCGCAUGCUCAUUAACUGUUCGUUUGACAUGUUGAAACUUACACUCGUAGAAGGCCUUACUCAGUUCUUUAAUGUUUUGGAUGUGUGGCCCUAUUACCGAUUUAUCUCUAUUGCUGCUUUUGACUCGUUUUAUAAUUGCCAGGGAGUCUCGUUCAAUUUCCACAUAUUUUAACCCCAGAUUCUUCCCCAUUUCAAGUCCCUGUAGACAUGCAAGGGCUUCAGCUGCAAACCCUGAAGGUACAUUUUCGUUUGUUGUGGUUGUUGAAUUCAUGACAUCCCCAUUACAGUCUCUGAUGAUGAUUCCUGAGCAUGAUCUGUAGUUUUUAGUAACCACUGCAGCAUCAAAAUUGAUUUUGCAGAACCCUUGCUCCGGAGGCUUCCACAGCUCUUGAGACAUUCUUGAUGUAGGAUAUAUCUGCUUUGUGUUGUUCAGCUCUUGGAUAUACUCUAAUAUAAAUCUUGCUGUCUCUGCUCCAGAUCUCCGUCGUCCUUCAUAGAUCCAUUGAUUUCUAGCAUGCCAGAUAGCCCAGAUAGCGCAAAUGAACAUUCGGCAACUGUCGUUCUCUUUGUUUAGCAUGAACCAGGUAAACCAAUCCAAGAACUCCAAAUGAGAUAAAUCCUGGGGCCAAUCAUAUCGUAAUGUAUUCCAUGUUUCUUUUGUAACAGUGCAGUCAUGGAAUAUAUGCUCCCUGUUUUCCAGGCCUUGCUUGCAUCUUGGACAUACUCCCUCGUUUGUUAACCUUUUGAUUCUUAGAUUCACUAGAGUAGGCAAAUAGUGUAAGGUGGCUCUCCAAACUGUAAUAAGUAUUUUUGAAGGGAGGUCACUAUUCCAUAGCUUUUUGUAGCAUUUACUGAUUUCGAUUGGGUUGUAACUAUUAUUAGUAAGCAAGUUACCAUGUAAUAACAAUUUAUACCCACUUCACACUGUGUAUUCACCUGUUGACUCCCCCCUCCAAGCCAAAAAGUCGUCGUGGGGAAUUGUAGUUAGCGGAAUUUGGAGAAUUUUUUGGACAUCAUCUGUUGAGAAG
RNAcentral lists this long non-coding RNA (1264 nucleotides) under Gossypium barbadense (sea-island cotton). Its description in RNAcentral is "long non-coding RNA (GBAR_LNC006035)". Lineage: Eukaryota; Viridiplantae; Streptophyta; Magnoliopsida; Malvales; Malvaceae. The record is from RNAcentral.